AAGGUCGAGGACGUUGAUGAUUCCGAAGUCAUCGGAAGGACUGCCGAGAAAAACCAGGGGAAGGACGAAGUCAGGUACCCGUACUAAAACCGACACAGGUAGGUGAGAUGAAUAUUCUCAGGCGCUCGAGAGAACGCUCGUGAAGGAACUCUGCAAGCUAGCCCCGUAACUUCGGGAGAAGGGGCGCCCCCACAGGUUUAGAGCUAGAGGGGGCCACAGUGCAUUGGCUCUUGCGACUGUUUACUAAAAACACAGGGCUCUGCUAACUCGCAAGAGGAAGUAUAGAGUCUGACGCGUGCCCGGUGCUGGCAAGUCAAGGAAGGGGGUGAGUCCGUAAGGGCGAAGCUCGCGACCGAAGCUCCAGUAAACGGCGGCCGUAACUAUGACGGUCCUAAGGUAGCGAAGUUCCUUGUCGGGUAAGUUCCGACCUGCAUGAAUCGCGUAACGACAGGAGCACUGUCUCCACGAGCGACUCGGUGAAACUGUAGUCGAUGUGAAGAUGCAUCGUUCCCGCAGCUAGACGGAAAGACCCCGUGAACCUUUACUGUAGCCUCAUAUUGGGUUUAGGCCCGGUAUGCGUAGGGUAGCUGGGAGACUAUAAACCCGCGGUUUUGGCCGUGGGGAAGUCGACGAUGAAACACCAGCCUUAUUGUGCUUGAAUUCUAACCGGUAUUCGUGAAGCCGAAGCCGGGACCGUGUGAGGUGGGCAGUUUGACUGGGGCGGUCUCCUCCCAAAGAGUAACGGAGGAGUCCCAAGGCAUACUCAACCCGGUCGGCCAUCGGGUGUUGAGCGCAAAUGCAGAAGUAUGCUUGACUGCGAGACCGAUAGGUCGAGCAGGGACGAAAGUCGGGAUUAGUGAUCCGGCGGUGCCGGAUGGAAGGGCCGUCGCUCAACAGAUAAAAGGUACUCCGGGGAUAACAGGCUUAUCUCCUCUGAGCGUUCAUAGCGGCGAGGAGGUUUGGCACCUCGAUGUCGGCUCAUCGCAUCCUGGGGGUGGAGAAGCUCCCAAGGGUUUGGCUGUUCGCCAAUGAAAGCGGUACGUGAGCUGGGUUUAGACCGUCGUGAGACAGGUCGGUCCCUAUCUGCUGUGGGCGUAGGAAGUUUGAGUGGCCCUCUCUCUAGUACGAGAGGAUUGAGAGGGACGUACCUCUGGUGUUCCUGUUGUCGCGCUAGCGGCAUUAGCAGGGUAGCCACGUACGGCCGGGAUAAACGCUGAAAGCAUCUAAGCGUGAAACCCUCCACAAGACGAGACUUCCCUUCGCAAGAUGAAGGCUCCGUGUAGACUACACGGUCGAUAGGCUGGCAGUGUAAAGGCAGCAAUGUCUGUAGCUAACCAGUACUAAUCGCCAACCGCUUGUCCGC
RNAcentral lists this ribosomal RNA (1363 nucleotides) under metagenome. Its description in RNAcentral is "bacterial LSU rRNA". It matches the Rfam family "Bacterial large subunit ribosomal RNA", at positions 1556 to 2925 of the family's 2925-position model. The record is from RNAcentral.